GAUGAAGAACGUAGCGAAAUGCGAUAAGUAAUUUGAAUUGCAGAAUUCAGUGAAUCAUCGAAUCUUUGAACGCACAUUGCGCCCGUCAGUAUUCUGGCGGGCAUGCCUGUUCGAGCGUCAUUACGCCCCUCAAGUCCCCUGUGGACUUGGUGUUGGGGAUCGGCGAGGCUGGUUUUCCAGCACAGCCGUCCCUUAAAUUAAUUGGCGGUCUCGCCGUGGCCCUCCUCUGCGCAGUAGUAAAACACUCGCAACAGGAGCCCGGCGCGGUCCACUGCCGUAAAACCCCCCAACUUUUUAUAGUUGACCUCGAAUCAGGUAGGACUACCCGCUUAACUUAAGCAUAUCAAUAAGCGGAGGA
Molecule: unclassified non-coding RNA, 358 nt
Filed under: soil metagenome
Description: partial contains 5.8S ribosomal RNA, internal transcribed spacer 2, and large subunit ribosomal RNA
Rfam family: 5.8S ribosomal RNA (bases 1-120)
Source: RNAcentral